This 7143-nucleotide long non-coding RNA is filed under the name Arachis ipaensis. Its description in RNAcentral is "long non-coding RNA (AIPA_LNC000984)". The record is from RNAcentral. Lineage: Eukaryota; Viridiplantae; Streptophyta; Magnoliopsida; Fabales; Fabaceae.
CGUCGCGCAUCCCCAUGAGUCUAUGCAUAGAUUUUACAUUCAUACAUCAUUCAAAACACUCACUGGGGGCUAUCCAUACCCGGGAAUUUAUACGUGCCCGGUCACCCUUACGACGUAGGGUCAACAGAGUAUCGAGAUCCAACCUAGAACACGUGGUGGCAACCACUGUUCUUUACCCAGGGAACUCGUAUCUCAGAUAAACGUGCGGAAGCCACAUAUGUUUAUUCAUAAUCUUUCAUCCAUCAUCAUUUCCACAUUUCAUUAACAAUUCAUAUCAAACCAAUCAUUAUUCAAGCCAUAAGUCACUUUUUAUUUCUCAAGUCUCUUCAAUCUCAUAACUUUCCUCAAAAUCAAUUCCUUUUCAAAUCUUCGUCGUUUAAUAUAACAUUUUACAAAACUUCCAAGAGACUUUCAAUCAUCACCUUAAAAUGGAACUUUCUUUGAGAAGACACAAGACUUUAGGGAAGAAUAACCUGCGUCACUUCUCAAAAUCUUUAGAAAUCCUCGGAAUCAUAAUUACUCAAAUUGAAAUCAUUUGAAAUGGAGACUUAAAAACCAAAACCAAGGCAUGUAGGCCAAAAGUUUUGAGCCACUUUCAAAACCAACUUAUUUAUGCUUCAAAGCCAAUUUCAUUUCGUUUGUAAAUCGGAAACCUUUUCAAAGCUUGGAGUUGUUUAGUCUUGUUAAGUCAAAAUUUAAAGAAUACUUCAAAAGCAAAACGAAUCUAAUUAAUCAAAGUUCAACUACUUUUAAAAUCCACUAAAACUCUUUCAAAAGUACUUCUUUAAUCAAACUUCAAAACAUAGGCCCCUUCAUAUUUAAAUCAAUCGGGAAACAUAAAUUUUUAUUAAACAGCUCAAACUCGAAACACCAAUUUCUUAAUAAAUUAAGAACCAAUUCGUAGAACCUCUCAAAUCCUAAUCCUUUUCUAAAUCACAUUUUAAAACAGAAUCUAAAUUUUUUUUAUGAAAAUUCGGCAGCAUCUCCCCUAAAACUUGGACUUUGCCACCCUUUUCGGAUCCCAUCCAAACAUUUCUCAAACCUUUUCCUCAACCAUUUCCAAAUCUCAUUCAUUUUCCAAAAUUCAACCAGUUCCAAUAUCAAAUUGUUUUCAACGCGAAUCAGUGCCAAUAAUAAAUCUCUUUUAAAAUCAAACCAGCUCAAAUACUAAAUUAUUUAUAAAAUCAGACUAACUCAAAAUUAAACCAUUUCCAAAAUUAAUUCAGUUUCAUAUUUCAAAUCAUUUCCAAGCCGAUUCGUUUACAUUAUCAAAAACAGCUUCAAAACCAAGAAAGCCAUUUUUCAUAAUAAUCAAUUGAAUAACCUUUCAAACUAAUUUCUUUUCAGCAAUCACAAACUACUCAAGCAAUCAAGCAAUCAGUCAUUCAGUCCCGCAAACAACCAUAUUUAUAAGACAAUCAUAAUCACAGACAUAUGUUUCUCACUUUAAUAUCUAUUUAUAACAACUCUGUAAUGUAAAAUAGAUUUUAAGAAAAACCCCUACCUCGAUAAGCAAAAUCAUAACCCAAACGUGUCAACUAAACUCUUUUCGCUCAGCCUGAAUUCAACCGCAACCGAAACCUCAGCUCCGCUUGUUUUCUCAAUAGCAGAACAGCCUCAAUCGCGACAUGCAACACUAGAUUUCUAAUCCUUAAAAAUAUCAAUGUUGCAAAUACUUUAAUACAUGUAACGAAACACUAAUGCGGGGUCUCCGAAACAGAAAUACUUACUGCAAUACGAAGACGAAAUAGCGGCGGUCUCUGAACUGGUUUGGCGGCCUCGGCAUCCACCUCACGUGGCAGCGGCGACCGGUUUGCGGCGGCAGCAACUGAAACCAACAAGCAGUGCUUGUAACGUUUUCAAAACUUGAAAGAAAUGAAAUCCAAUACUCAAACCCUUACCAACGGUGGUCGUAGGUAACGGAGGUGGCGUUUCUCGGCGGCGAAGGCUCGGCCACCCAUCACCAGCGGCGGCAACGGAGGCUACGACGGCGGCUGGACAGAUCGGCAGUGAGGAGAACCAGCUCAGUCUUGGAUCUCUCUCUCUCCUCCACGCGCGGCUCUCCUUGCAUCGGCUCCCUUUCCCAGUGACGACGGCGGAUCUGGCGACGGUUUGGGACAGAGACAACGACGGCGGCUGGUUGAGCUAUACGGACCGGUGACGACGGGUCAGCCACACGUCUCCUCUCCCCGCAACUGAGCUCCUUGGCGCGUGUUCUUCCUCUCUCUUCCCUCUGUUCUUCGCACUUUCUCCCUCCUCUGUGCAGCACGGCGGCGCGACGGUGACUGGUCGCGGUGGCAAGGUGGCGUUCUGAGUAGCGCGGCGGUGGUGCAACGGCUCCUCCAUCUUACCUGGCGCUCUCCCUCUCACGGAUCCCCCCUCCUCUCUUCCCCUUUCUUUCUUCUUUUCUUUCUUUCUUAGCUGCUUCUAGGUUAGGUUCAAUUUGUGUGUGUUGAGUGUGUGUGACCGAGGGUGAAGGGAUUGGGUGAGAGAGAUGAGUGUAGUGUUAGGGUUUGGGGGUAGUUUAGGUAUUUUCAUUAAAAAUAGGGUUAUUAGUGUAAUUUCAUAAAAUAAUUAGGAAGAUAAAAUAAUAAUUAAAAAAAACCAAAUUAAGUAUAAAAUUUCUAUCUUUGACAUUCCUUCUAAUUACAAGCUGUAAAUUAUUUUCCAUUCGAAUACUAAUUUAAUAAGAAUUAGAGAUAAGUAAAUUAAUUCUCCUUUAUUUAUAAAAUAAGGUCAAAAAUUUAAAUAUUAAAAUUAAGGUAUAUAAAAUAUUCACUAUUUUUUUUCAAUUAUAAGAACUCUAUAUAAUAAAUAAAAAUUUACUCAACCUAUAUAUAAAAAUCUCUAAAAAUAUAAUCUUAAAAUAAAUACAAUAGCUCAUAAAUAAUUUAUUAAUAACUUUUUAAAAUCCGGGGUCUUACAUUCUACCCCACUUAUAAAAAAUUUUCGUCCUCGAAAAUUAACUUAAUUCAUAAAAUACUAAAAUAGUUUUGAAUACUUUACUUUCGUAUACUUUAGAAAACAAAGGUCUUGGCAUAUAUAUGUAUAUAAUUUUCCAAAUACCGAAAAUUUCGUAAAAAUUUAGGUGUAAGGAAAAAGUGUGGUCUAAAGCAAAAGUUACAGGAUGGUUCAAAACAAGGAUGUCACAUAAGGCUACUAUUUUACCAAAACUUGAAGUAUAAGAGGGUGCAAGUAUUCUAGUUAGGUGUUUGCAAAAACAAAAGGGGUAACUAGGUGGCAAAAAUUUGAAAACAGGUUGACGUGAACAAACAGGAUAAUGUCUGCGCAUAGAUUUCGUACCAACUUCAAAAUUUCAACUUCCCAAUUCCAUCAGUCACUUCACAACCCCUUAACCGCCACAAGCAUAAUCAUCCGCAAAUUUUUACGAGGAACAAAACUAUCACACUCCUCAUAACAUUGCAUAUUUACCGCUUUCCCUUUUCACGUUUACGAACUGCAUUCUAAAGAGACUAACGCUUCGCUUAUUACACCUAAAGGUCAUACGUGACUCUAAAGCUAUCUCCGAGUUUAUUUGAAGGAUAUAACACCUUGGAAAAGGACAAGCGACAAGGACAAAAUUUGUAAGAGCUUGAAAGAAUUGUUGAGAUUACAAAUAAGCAGGUAUGCACAAGGAAUGAAGAGUGCCAGAAAGAAGAUUAGUUCGGCAAUCUCAAGAAUGACUCUCGAAUCAUUGAAAUCUGAUAGGAAUAAUAAAAAGAAAAGUAGUGCUAUAGUUUGAAAUAAAAUCAAGUCGAGUCUCAGAAUAUGAGGUUUAUAGAAGAAGAGUGUUUAAAACCAAAGAUAAAGCUUAUAGAACUCAAGAGUAUGGUUUAAAAAAAUACUUUCGAAUACAUUUUUCGUAAAGAAUGGAAAACUUAAGAGAAAAUCAUUUUAUGUUUUGAAAAAGAAGAUGGGUAACAAACAUUCUUCAAAAGAUUAAUAAAAGCGUAAAUGUGGCAUUAUCUCAAUAUAAAUUCAAGUGGAAAUAGAUUACACAAACUUUGUAAAUGGAAAGAUUAAUUUGGCUAAGAGCAACAUUGUAUUUUCUCUUCUUUUUCAAGCAUAUAUGAAAACUACAAUCUUGUUGGAAGGAAACCUGAGAUAGAGUUUUACUCAUAAAAGAAAAGAAGAUACAUUACAAUCAAACAGGUUUAAAUCACAUACAGAAAUUUUCAAAGUAUAAGGUAAAGGAGUGUAGGCUGAAUUGAAAGAGAUUUUACUAAAACUUCAAUAAUAUACUUGAAAUCACAGCUUUAUAAGGAUGUUCAAUAAUAUUAAGAUGCGCUAAAAAGAAAACCAACUCAUUUCAAGAAAGGAACUCAGCAACUUAAAAGGUUGAUUCAAAACUUAAAUUAAUUUUUUUUUCAAAAGAAUUCAAAACUUCUUCAAAAAUGGUUGAAAACAAAAUUUUGAAAGUAUACUUGGAAUAAGCACCUCGCAAAAAUCAUUUAAGAAGAUUACGAUGCGCUUAAAAGGUAAUCAACCCAUGGAAGAAAGGAUCUUUAAAUCAAGGAAAUUCAAACAAAAUCUCACUAGGCUUGGAAUAUCAAACAAGUUUUCAAUUGAUCCAAAGGAAUACAAAAUGCACAAGGAAAGACAAUUCAAUCAAUAGAAAAUUCUCAAGAAAAAAUCUUUGACUAAAGAAAGAUAAUUAAGAGGGUAAACGGUGCAUUAGAUAGAAACAAGGUCAAGCUGAGUUGGAUGAGUGUGAGAUUCAUAAAAGAAAGAAAAUUAAGACUAACGGUGACGUUCACAAAAGUAAGAGAGUAGUUAAAUACAGAGUCAAAUAUGACAUCCAUAGAAGUGAAAGGCUCAAAAAGGAAUUGGUCCGUUCUUGAAAGGGAAGAUAUGAACCCAACAUUUUCAAAAGAGCAAAGAAUGCUUAAUUAACGUGUUAUGCUCAACCAAAUUUGAAUUAAAAAUAGAUCAGGUGAAGUUUAUUAAACGAAAAUCAACUAGAAAGAGACAAAAAUCUUGCUUUGAAGAGUAUCUGAAUACAUAAUCAAGCAAAAAUAUUCAUAAAAAUUGUAAUAUAGUUGUUAAAAAAUCAAGUUGCAUACGUAUGUUUUAAAAUAAGUAUAUUUUUAUAAACUAGUAAAAGAACUGAUGAGUUAUUGGGGGUAAAUAGUUUUUUAAACAGCAUAAAAGAAAUUUUUUUAAAAGCUUUAUAUGGAGAAGAUCAUAUCAAAUCAAAAACAAUUUUAUAAAGGUUUCAAGAAUAGUCAAGUAAGAAAAAUUAAAUCACGCCUUUAAAAUAACAAAAACAAAAUUUGAAAUAUGAGCUUAAAGGAAUACACUGCAUCAAAAUAAGUUCAAAGUUGUACCAAAUAAUACAUGGAUCAAGAAAAGAGUUUAAACAAAGAGAGGCAAACACACCAAAAAUGUUAGGCAAACAUAUGCGGUUAGAAUCAAACGAGAGCGCAUGUGAAUAAGAGAACAGGAUUGGAAGAUAAUCUGAUCAGUUUCCAAGAAAAGAAUAGCAAACAAGAACCUUAGAGCAUACCAAGUAGGAGCAAGAUACAUGAUAUUCGCAGAAUUCAAAACACGGUUGAAUGUUCCUUAAAGAUUCAAGCAACAAUUAGGAACAUAGUCAAGCAAGGAUAUAUAUGAAUGACAAGACAUGGUAGAAAAAUAUUCAAAACACAUUCUAAGAAGAAAUCAAGAACUAGAGAUUCCAAUACAAAUAAUAAAGAAAAGAUAGCAUCAAGCACAAAUAAAGAUUACACGUCGAAACGGAACUAAGCUCUAGAACUAAGUUUCUAACGUUCCCAAAACCCGCGACUCGCGUUAUCUAUGACUCGCAUAUCGUCUAUGAUAACCCAUUAGUGCUUACAUAUACAUAAUUAACUAAUGUUAAGCUAGCCAAACUUAAUACCAGAAAUUAUGCAAUGCAAGACUAAUAGCAUUAAUCAAUAGACCGUUAUGUGCAUAAAGCUAUAAUUCUCGUUAUCCAACAAGACCUACUACAUAACAGACUCUCAGAGUAUGCAACUGAAGCAUAGUCGGUCCAUUCCUCAGGCUCUAUAGGAAGAACCACUCUGAUACCUUAAUGUAACUCACUACCAGAAAGUCAAGCUUCCGGCUGCACCACUCUGAUUGCAAGAAGUAUUACAACUACUUUAUAUACUUAAUAUUAAAAUAGGAGCCUGUGACUCAACACUGUAUCGCUGAUUUCUUUGAAAACCGGAAAUAAAAAUUUUAUAAAAAAAAAACAAACACAGAUUCAAAUACAAGACUUUUUACAUAAUAUCUUAUAAUAUAAUAUAUAUAAAACAUACAACUNUCAACAACAUAUAAACCAAACGCAGUAUAACUCCUCUUAAUGCUUCUUCUUCCGGUUCCUGAAAAGGUAAAGCUGUAGGGGAUGAGAACCUAACCACACGGUCUCACCACAGAGUUUCAAAGUUAUCAUAAGAAGAUAUUUAAUAAGAAAACUAUUUUCAAGCUCAGUGAUUAUCAUUGCCUUAUGAAUCUUUUAAAAACCAACAAGUAAACGUUCAAAACAUUUUCAAAGAAACAAUGUUUAAUCUUUCAGAAAUCCGAAACCUUUCCUUUCUUAAAAGAAAAUAUCAAUCAGAAACCAACCACGCAAUCAACAACACAAUCAUUAAUUCAGCACCAAAGUUCAUUCUCAAAUGUAGCACGUCAGGAUAAACACAGGCAAGACAGACAAGGAAAACACAAGUAGGUAGCAAUUACAGCAAAUAGUUCAAGUAGCAGUUAAGAACAGUUUAGCAAUUAGGCAAACCCAAACAAGUUCAAACCCAAACAAAGCAUACAAAUGCAUAUGAUGCAUGUCUGUCCUAUGGCUGAUGAGGCUCAUCUGUCGGUUAUCCAUCCAACCCGACAAGUCUGAAUUGUCUUUAGACUGUCCCCUGUAGCGCAUCCCCAUGAGUCUAUGCAUAGAUUUUACAUUCAUACAUCAUUCAAAACACUCACUGGGGGCUAUCCAUACCCGGGAAUUUAUACGUGCCCGGUCACCCUUACGACGUAGGGUCAACAGAGUAUCGAGAUUCAACCUGGAACACGUGGUGGCAACCCACGGUUCUUUACCCAGAGAACUCGUAUCUCAGAUAAACGUGCGGAAGCCACAUAUGUUUAUUCAUAAUCAUUCAUCCAUCAUCAUUUCCGCAUUUCAUN